GAUGAACGCUGGCGGCGUGCCUAAUACAUGCAAGUCGAGCGAACAGACGAGGAGCUUGCUCCUCUGACGUUAGCGGCGGACGGGUGAGUAACACGUGGAUAACCUACCUAUAAGACUGGGAUAAAUUCGGGAAACCGGAGCUAAUACCGGAUAACAUGUUGAACCGCAUGGUUUAACAGUGAAAGACGGUCUUGCUGUCACUUAUAGAUGGAUCCGCGCCGCAUUAGCUAGUUGGUAAGGUAACGGCUUACGAAGGCAACGAUGCGUAGCCGACCUGAGAGGGUGAUCGGCCACACUGGAACUGAGACACGGUCCAGACUCCUACGGGAGGCAGCAGUAGGGAAUCUUCCGCAAUGGGCGAAAGCCUGACGGAGCAACGCCGCGUGAGUGAAGAAGGUCUUCGGAUCGUAAAACUCUGUUAUUAGGGAAGAACAAAUGUGUAAGUAACUAUGCACGUCUUGACGGUACCUAAUCAGAAAGCCACGGCUAACUACGUG
RNAcentral lists this ribosomal RNA (497 nucleotides) under uncultured bacterium. RNAcentral describes it as "partial 16S ribosomal RNA". It matches the Rfam family "Bacterial small subunit ribosomal RNA", at positions 28 to 507 of the family's 1533-position model. The record is from RNAcentral.